UGAGGAACAUGACCUUCGGCGGGGGAUAGCCGGCCCAACGGCCGGGUAAUACCGCGUACGACCACAUGGGGACAUCCCUGAGUGGUGAAAGCAGCAAUGCGCCGAUGGAGUGCCUCGCGGCCUAUCAGCUAGUUGGUGAGGUAACGGCUCACCAAGGCGACGACGGGUAGCUGGUCUGAGAGGAUGGCCAGCCACAUUGGGACUGAGACACGGCCCAGACCUNUACCGGGA
Molecule: ribosomal RNA, 231 nt
Filed under: uncultured bacterium
Lineage: Bacteria
Description: partial 16S ribosomal RNA
Rfam family: Bacterial small subunit ribosomal RNA
Source: RNAcentral